Bufo bufo (common toad) is the source of this 427-nucleotide long non-coding RNA. RefSeq lists it as uncharacterized. The transcript is spliced from 3 exons. The record is from RefSeq and is a predicted model, not a curated record. NCBI's taxonomy places the organism in Eukaryota, Metazoa, Chordata, Amphibia, Anura, Bufonidae.
AUCGCAGGUCUGCAGGAGCGGAGAGCCAGCACCAGGAAGCGGGCAAGUCAUCUUCUCUUUGCAAAUCUGGCAGAAUGGAGGGGUUUUCCAAAAACCUCCCAUUCUUGCACAACCCCUUUAAGUCAUUUUCUAACAAGGGCUUGCCAGCAGAUGAAAUGUAUCUGAAAUGUCUUGGCGGGGUCAAAAUAAAAACUCGCUGAUGCCCCGUCACCACCGUUCUGAGAGUUCCCGGUCCCCCGCGGUUCCCAUUUCCGGCUGCAGCAAUGAACACUGUCACAAAAAACACAUAAGCCUUGCAGACAGUCACUGGCCACAGUGGUGACCCGUACAGCCAGUGAUUGGCUGCCAUGGUCAUAUAUUCCUGUGCUGGGACGCCAUUGCUACAAAAAGAAGACAACAAGGUGGGACCGAGCAACCUCAGAACAGG